GGUCUGAGAGGAUGAUCCGCCACACUGGGACUGAGACACGUCCCAGACUCCUACGGGAGGCAGCCAUGGGGAAUUUUGCACCAUGGGCGUAAGCCUGAUCCAGCCAUCCCGCCUGUCUGAAGAAGGCCUUCGGGUUGUAAAGGACUUUUGUCCGGGAGCAAAUCCCAAUGGUUUAUACCUACUGGGGCUGAGAGUACCGGAAGAAUAAGCACCGGCUAACUCCUUGCCAGCAGCCGCCGUUAUUCGUAGGGUGCAAGCGUUAAUCGGAAUUACUGGGCGUAAAGCGUGCGCAGGCGGUUGUGCAAUUCUGAUGUGAAAUUCCCGGGCUCCACCUGGGAACGGCUUUGGAGACUG
RNAcentral lists this ribosomal RNA (354 nucleotides) under bacterium LimB-10-A-335. Its description in RNAcentral is "bacterial SSU rRNA". It matches the Rfam family "Bacterial small subunit ribosomal RNA", at positions 289 to 635 of the family's 1533-position model. The record is from RNAcentral.